UUUAACCCACUGAGCAAGGCCAGGGAUUGAACCCACAACCUCAUGGUUCCUAGUCGGAUUCGUUAACCACUGAGCCAUGAUGGGAACUCCAUACCCAUUUUAAAACUUCUAUACAACAGCAGUAACAAUGUCAUGCUUCUGUCUAGCAAGUUAUAACUUCCUUUCGUGAAAAUAUACUGUCACCUUCUUCCCCCAAUAUGGAGACUCAAAUCUCUAACGUUCUUCAUGUCCAUCUUCAAGUGAUGUUAAUUUUCUUUCUUUUUCAUUAAAGACUAUUAUAUUAUAAAUUUAAUUGUCACCAACACUGUUGUAUAUAAAAUAAUAGGGAAUUAAGAGAAAGAAAAGGAAUGAAAACAAAUGAAGAAGAAACUAUUUAUAUCUGCUACUUUAUUUCUGGAACUGCUCACAAAGCCACAGAUGAUAUUAAAAAUUCCUUUUUUCUACCACUCAUUCUAUGUUCCCUUUGCCUUCAGUCAGCUGGUCAGUGUUUUUUACUUGGUGAGGUAACCCAAACCUUCAUUCUUGAAGAGUCUGAAUUCUUUUUCAGUUCUGUCUUUGGGGACAUAAUGAAUGACUAAGAGAUGCCUUGGAGAGUCCUCUUGGUUCCAGGCUUGGGUCCCUGCCAGCAUUGUGUAGCAACUAGUGCAGGUCAAUAGAAUUGAUUACCCCAGCCAAAUACAGUAACUCCUUCCUUUGUCUGUUGGUUCAGUGAUGUGAGGAACCCAGAUUGCUUGGUGGCAAUAUCAACUUCCAACUUAAUAGAAAAACUGCCAUUCUUCCUGUGGGAACUAAGCUCUCUAACAAGUGCCCAUUACACUGAGUUGUGAGAAUAGGAAGCAAAAAUUCUGUAGGUGGAUUAUUAAAGGUAACAGAGGAAAUAUUGUCAUUUUCAUCUCUUUAUUUCCAGAUCCAUGGAUUGUGGCUAUAGAAGAAAAAAGCACCAUAUAUUGGUCCUUGGUUCAAACCAUAUAUUUCAUCCUCCACAAGUUGUUAUUUCUACUAGAACCAUAACUGAAUCUUUAGGAGGCCAGGCCACCUUUCUCACAGGCCAGUUGCUUCUAGGGAUGGGUGACAAGACCAUUGAGUACCAUGGACAUGAAUCCGUUGCUAUACUUUUUGACUGUGAAAUGAAUUGAUUAGUUUGAAGCUAUUUGUAUGGAAUGCUAUAAAGUUGAAUAAGGCAAUCCACCAGUCCACAGAUGAUGUGUUCAAGAGGUAUUGCAAGCAGAGAGGACAGAUCAGUAUCCAAAAUUAGUGCUUAUUCCGACAAAGAUGAUUUCGGCCCCUUCAUUAUGGAAAGGGUCCAGUGUGACUGAUGGCUGAAUUGGCCCCCUUCCCCACCAACUGGUGCCAUUCCACUAAUGUCAGCUUGAGCACCUGGUAGUGCUUACCAGAUCACUGGUAGCCAGAUAAUGGUUGGUAACGGAAAUCCAUAUUGUUGGGCCUAUAAGCCACCUCUAUUCCUCAUGUUCUGUCUUGUGUACACGAACCUAUUGAUGAAGUACCUGAGUAUUUGGAGAAAGAAACUGACAGAUAGCCAAUGCAUAGGCUUUCUUUUGUACCUGAUUAUUGAGAGCUCUGUCUAUAGCAUACGCCUUCAUGAGCAUUUAUGUAACACUCAAAUUCCUAUAAAUAUCCUCAUGCUCUGUGCCAGUUUAAGAGGUCUAUCUACAUACUACUUUGCAGACAGUCUUUCAAUCCUUUAUUUCCAUGUCCCUGAUGAUCCAGCCAAACCAUUUGUCAUUACCCAUGAUUAGAAGCAAGGUAGGUCUAUCCGUAUCUUGGGCCAUCUCUCAGUCCAGUCAAAAUGGAUAUUAUGAUAUACUGCUUAAAGUUUUUCUCACUGAGAGGAUUUCUCUUCCCCAGUGUUUUUGUUUUGUUUUUAAAGCACAUCCCCAAAUGUGGCUAUAGUGCUAUAUUCCUAGUUUGCCAGUAUAAUGAGCAAAACCAUCUGUAAACCAGACCCUCCCUCAGUCAUUUGUUCACAGGCAGAUCUCCAUUAAAAACCUCACGUUGGAUGAGGGAAGGAUGGCAGUCUAGCAGAAGAAUGCCAUAAAGUCCUGAGCCAUCAGCACAUGUAACUUUAUUAUUCCUUUGGGAUCUGUGUGAACCUGAUUUUACACAUACCACUUCCACUGGGCGAUGAAGUGUUGCUGUUUCUGCUUAAUUUUGUGACCUAAUGAAUCAGAUAACACCCUGUCAGUUAUGGGCAGCCCAAGUCGUGGGGCCAGGGGUUCAUUCUCUAUAAGGUCCAAUAGCAAGGCAGGAACAGUUUCUCAAAGGAAGAUGACAGCUCUUUACUUCACAUCCUCAGGGCGUGCACCAUGGUCAUCUGUUUUGGGUUUGCAAUGGGCUCCGUAUAGGAUCCCUACUUACCACAGAAACAUUAGUUGCUAUUGGAUCUGCUGGGUCAUAGGGCCCAUGUAGCAGUAUAACUUGUGCUGGAGUAGUUUAUAGUCUACAUCCUGACUAGUUGUAGAGCCUUCUUUUACUUGAUCACCAUUCAAAUCUGGCUGCAUUAUGAGUUAUAUAUUGAAUUGGUCAGAGCAACACACUCAAAUGUGCCAUAUGUUUCCUCAAAAAUGCAGAGGCCCAUCAAAUGGUGAAAAUUGUUGUUGGUUAUAGUUGGUGCAACAAUUUUUCUUUCACUUUGGAGGGAAUUCCCAGUAUCACCCAGAAUUUUGAAUCCCUAGAAACCUCAUCCAUGUAGCUAGCUCCUAGAUUUUAUGGGUUGUUUCUUCUACUGUGUGAUAAAUGUGUGUCUUAGACAUCUAAUGUAAUACAUGCUUCUAUUAUUCAUCAGUUUCAAAGAUCAUGACAUCCUCUUUGCAUUGAGCCAGUUUUAUCUCUUGUGGGAUCAAGGUCCCUUUAGACUAGAUUAUGUCCAGAGACGUGAUAUUGCCUUGGGAUGGUGAAGGUGUCUCUGGUAGUCCUUUAAUUUUUAAACUGAUAUAAAGUAAAAUGGAAAUAUAGGGCCAUCCUGUAGAAGAUUGGACUUGGGCAUGGGAGGUAAUGCAAAAAUAAUUGGGAUAAAGUUCUUCACUAUUAAUAAAAUGUGGGAAUAUGUGGUAGGCAGUGUAGUAAUUGGGGGCAGGCAUGGAAAAACUUGAAAAAAUUUAUCAAGAUAUUUUUACUGGUUUUUAAUUUAGAAAGGUACAUUAUAUAACUUUUGUGCCAUUCUUUGCUCAUUAUAAAACACUGUUAUGUCUCUUGAAGAUUAUUUAGAGGAUAUGUGAAAUAAUAAUGAAAAAACAGGCUCUAUAAAUAAUACAAAGUCAUUGAUGUUUACUUUAGUUCUCAUAAUGGACUUGUACAUAAAAUAGUCAGGCUAGGAGUUCCCUGGUGGCCUCAGCGGUUAAGGAUAUGGCAUUGUCACUGCUAUGACUCUGGUCUCUACUGUGGCAUGGGUUCUAACCCUGGCCUGAGAACUUCCACAUGCCACGGGUGUGGCCAAAAAAAAAAAAAAAAAAGUCAGACUAAAACUUAUUCCUAUUGUGUAGAUAAGGAAAGUGACUUUCUGGUUUUAGGUAGUUUGUCUGAAUUCGCACAGCUGAUCAGUAGUAGAGUUUCAGAUCAAAACCAGCUAUAUAGAUGGAUAUGUUGAUAUAGGUGCUAUUUUUAGGAUAUGUGUGUAUGUUUGCAUAAUUUAAAUAUUAAUUUACAUAUUCUUUAUCUUCUCUUUUCAUCCUCCCCAAACCCUAUCCCAGAGGGGUUAGAAGCAGAGAGAAGGAGACACUCUUUAAGACUGAAGUAGAAUGGUGGUCUUCAGUUUGUUUUUCAUAUAGCAGAGAUGCGUGCCUAGCUCCCUUGAAGCAUCCUGGGGAAGAACUUGGAGAAAAAUGAGUCUUUGGUUCAUCUAGAGAGAAUGGACAUUAGACUCAGGGGCUUUCAGCCCUGGAAAAGGAUUCCAUGCUGAGCUCAGCAGGAAUCAGCAGAGCUGUCUAUACUUAAGGGAGUGUGAGAGCUUCGGACAGUGAGCACAUGGAUGGGGAUCAGUGUGGAUUGAAGACAGGAGGGCUUCAGCCAAAUGACACAACCUGGGUAAGUUCCUAGGGGCUUUCUUACAAUGCUGAGAGGCCCAGUGAGGACUUAUCCUCAAAUCUUUUUUAAUUUUGGAAUCAAAUGAAAUAUUAUGACAUUUCGCAUAAACCUUUUUUUAUGGACUAAAAGUCAUACCUCCUACUUAUAUAUUUGUUUUGGGAGUAAAGAAGGCAAAAACAGGGUGGUAGUAAUGAUAGAGCUGUGACUCUGGGUAUUAGAGAGCUUGAAAAUUUGCUUCAUAUCACCAAGGAAAAGGAAUGGCCUAAUAUCACUAUCAACCCAAAGUGUUUUCAGUUUAUUAUUGGUAUGUGCCAGUGGCUGAUUUACUUGGCUCUUUGGAAGAGAGUGGUAAUGAGACCAACGUCAGGGUUCUCAUUUCCAUACAGGCAAAUAUACUUGGUGAAAGAGAGCUUUAGCUUCGGUCACCACAGAUUAAAUUCCUAACCUGCACCAGCUGCCUUAGAUACGCUGUGGGGUUAUGAGAGGUCAGGUAAGAGGGUGUGGAUGAGUCAGCAGAAAACCUCACCACCUCUGAGGGUGUGAGUUCACAACAGAGGUCCUGUAGAUAUCCCUGAGAUUUUGUGUGCAUGCUUAUGAAGGAGAAAACAUACUGCUGCCCUUGAGCUAAUUCACAGAAAAUGAGUAGAUCAAACCAAGUCCCUCUAGUGCCUGAACAGAAUCUGAGAGGGCAAAAGGCUCUGUCAUUAGUUGAGUUAGUGCCAUAUCUGAGCUAUGCUUAACAUUUCACUCUUAAUAAACAGAUAUUAUGGUGUAAUUUACAAAAAUAAUAGAUUUUAAGAAGAAUUUUAAAAAUUCUGCAAAAUGAAGAUGAGGAUUUUAGGGUUACAUUUUAAAUAAAAAUUCUGAAAAAGAAACCAUAAUUAGAAAAUAUUUAUAUAGGUCUUUUUAUUGUGUAAUUUAUAUAUAACACACCAGUCUUAAGGGUGUAGUGCAAUGAAUUGUAUAUAUCCAUGUAAUCACCACUCAAAAUAAGAUACAGAACAUUUCCAUCAUCCCGGAAAGUUCCUUUCUGUUCUUUAUCAGUCAGUUUCUUAUCUGCUCUCCCAGUGACUGCUGUUCUGUCAAUAUAAAUUAUUUUUGCCUUUUCUCGAACUUCACGUAGAUGUAAUCAGUCAAUAUGUACUUUUAUGUGUCUGGCAUUUUUCACUCAACUUAAGUUUUUUUGAGGUUUAUGCAUGUUGUUACAUUGUAUCUGAAGUUUAUUCCUUUUUAUUUUGGUAUAAAGUUACUACAAUUUGUCCAUAGUCCUGUUGAUGAAUAUUUAAGUUGUUUCUUGUUUUCAUCUAUUAGGACUAAGACUGGUAGAAACAUCUUCCCAAGAUUCUUAAAAUUCAUGUUUAAGUACCCAUUUUUCAUAUGCAAUCUCUGAGAGCAGAAAAAGUUCUUUAUAGUAAAUCCUACAAACUUUUUUUUAAUUACUCAAAUGAAUUUAUCACAUCUGUAGUUGUAUAAUGAUCAUAACAAUCUGAUUUCACAGGAUUUCCAUCAGUUCCUUCACUUUGCUUUGAUUUUCUUGAAUUGUUAUCAAGAUCCAAGAGUUUUAAAAAGCUGUUUUCUCAGGUGACUGUUAAGUUAUAGGCACAGUACUGAGAAGGACAAAACAAAGAGAGUAGGUUUCCUGCACCCAGGUUUGUAUCAACUUCAGCUUCUCUGGAGGUACCUAGUUAAGUCAGACCCAUAUGUUUUUCCAUUCUGCUUUCCAAAGCCUCUCCUGUUUGCCAAUAUGAAUUCAUUCAGUUUGUUUGUUUAUUCAACAAUAAUUUGUCAGGCUUUUUCAAUAUAUUUGUUGGGCUUGUGCUAGGCUCUACAUUCAUGAUGGCAAGGGUUAUGUUUGGAUAAGAACCCAAACAAUAAUGUUUGCUGUGCCUAGCUCAAUGCCUAGCACAUGAUGGAAACUAAAUGGGUAUUUUUGAAUGAAGGAAGGAGCUUUCAGUUUAGUGUGGAGAUUGUCCUGAAUACAAAUAACUGGUGUGUCGGAAGUAUGGAGAAGGUAUUGUGGAAGUAUCAAGAUUAUAAAUACGUGUUCUUGUUUUUACCUGAGCCAACACUUUCUUUGUUGGACUGUAAUUUGUCUAUUUAUGGCUUUCUCCCCCAUUUCAUAGUAGAACAGAGACUGUUUCCUAUUAGUCUUUGUAUCUCUAGCAAUCAAUCCAUGGCCUGGCACUCAGAAGGGAUUGACUAAUUCUAUCUAGGUUUGCCAAAAAAAUUAAUCGGGAGAGGGGCCAUUUGGGAUGGGCCUUGGAGAGGAGAUCCUGGUGAUAGAGGGUGGUGGGGGAUGGUAUUCCAGAAAACAAGAAACUGUGCUCCUUUGGGUCCUAAUUGUUUUCUCUCUUAAAGAAUGUUCCCAUUUAAUUUCCUGAAUCACCAUCAUGAUUUUGAAUCCCUUUUAGCAAUUCAGUUUUUAAUUAACUUUUUAAAAGCAUUUACUACAUACAUAGCAAAAUGGUCCUGAGCCAAGAUUUUUUUCUCACAUAAGAUUAUGUUCUUGUCAUUUCUUUAAACAGUUAUUCUGUUGAAUGCCUUGAAUACAAAAAGAAUAUGACAAAAACAAAAUAGUUGCCUAACAUUUCAAUAGAAGUUCUUAUCCUGAAUAGAAUGAAUAAAGGGAAUUAUUAUUAUGAUUUUUAGGCAUUCCAGGUAGAAUGAUCUGUUUUUCAAGUAAUUAAAAAAAUUAAAGGGUUUCUUUUUCAUAAUUGAUAAUCAAAUCCAGCUAACCUAAUUUAUUGUUGAAGAGGAUGCAUUCCAUUGGUUUAAAGAGAAUAUUAACAAAGAAAUUAGAAUCUUUUUAUUUCAUUGACUAUGCAAGUGGAAACUGUGCAUAAGGAUUCAGGAAGAGUGUUUCAGCAUUACUUUUUUUUCCCUUCACACUUACAGGCUUUGAGUAAAUUGCAGAGGAAACUCCUCUGAUUGAAUGUUGGAGGUCAUCUUUUGGUACGCAUGGCACAAAAUGAUUCUAGGCAUUAUGAAUUCUAAGAUGUAAAUUACAGGAGCUUUGAAGACAGGAGUGAUUCUCCUAGGCAAUGCAUUGCAUAGUGGAGCAGAGUGGAAAUGUCAUCAUUUAUGUUUUAUUUCAGAGAAGAUCAUCUCCACAAUUCUUUCUUUUCCUACUUUAGCAGAUUUUGACAUAAAAGAAAUUUUACAUUCUUUUUAGAUAUAAUGUGGAAGUCUGAUAUUUCAAAAUUUAGAAUAAAACUUUCUGUGCUUUUAAUAAGAUCUUAAAGCAUUUAAGAAGCAUUAAUUAAGCUUUACAAACCAACUGUAAGAUGAUUUGAUCAAUUCAAAAGUAGUCAUAAAGUCUGUACUCAACUUUCAAUUACUGUAUGUCUCAGUGGAGAAAAAGCACAGCUAAUCCAAAUUACAGAUAAUACCCAAAACAUUUCUAUUCAAUGAACAAUGACAUACAUAUUUUUAAAAAUAUAUAUAGUUAGUCCAAAAUCCUUUAUAUUUGAUCUUAGCAUGCAUUAUGAUUUGUGUGUGUGUGCGCGAAACCAUAUGAAAACAUACAAUCAUGAUGAUGCUUUAAUUAAAUGAAGCCUACAGUGAAUUUGGUCUCUUUGUAUAUAUGCUGAUUACGGGAAGGGAGAAAUAUCUUUGUGUCAGGUUACUUGUCAGAAAUGGUCCAGAGAUGUGAGUUUUUGCCUGUCUGUAAUCUGCAGAAUGAAAUCAUCUAUGUAAGUUUGCAUUUUGAGACAGGAGAGUUCUCCUCCUGGACCAACUUAUUUGAUAGCUAAAAAAAUGAGGCCUACUAUAGUGACAAAUGACUUGUUAGCUAUGGUUAAUAAUGUUAUUAUUUAUAAUAGAGAGGAAGGAGAGAAGGAAGCAAAUUUUUCACAAUUAAAGAAUGUUUGAGUAAAUUCUGGCUUAUCAACCUCAUGUCAUUCCACUGACUAAAAAAUUAUAACUACAUGGCAAUAGUCUCAACUGAGACGUGGCUUCUUCUAGGCCAGGACUCUCCAUUUGCCAUAUCUGGUUGGCUGCUGCUUCUGCAUUCUACUCGUGAGCAUAUUUAUAUGCUUCAUUGUAUUUCCUCUGAGAAAUCCUAUGCUCUUUGACAGCUGGGACCAUGGCAUUAUUAUUUAUUAUUUAAUUUCCAGAUCUUAGCCAAUCAGGCCCAUGAUUACCACUCACUAAAUACUAAUUUCAGUCAAAUAGAAUAUUAUUAGUACAAAAAAGGAAAAUCAGUAAAAAAUACUCACAGCUACGAGCGCAGUCAGCUGUUCUUAGGUGUUCUCCCUUUCUAUACCCACCCCCUUCCACAUUUAGCCCUGACUCUUUCCUAGCUGCAUUAGUUGUUUGUUGUCCAAGCACCAUACUGAAUGACUUAGGGGGGCAAGAUGCGGGGCUGUCCCAGAUAACAUACAAAGCACGCAUGGCAUUUAGAUAUAGUAGUUUUGAUGGAGAAGCAACUUUCUGAUACAAGAAAUAAAACACGGAACAUUCAGCUUUCAAAAAAGAAUCAAUGAUUGAAUGUGCUUAAAAGACAUUCUCACCCCACGGCUGAGCCUCACCUCAAACCUAAGCAAAUCAAACCUCUUCAAUGACCUCUAGAGAGUGACACAGGUGACAAGGUUAGUGGUUACACCAGGGUGCAAGUUUUUCCUGAUCCUUACAGCAGUGCCUUCUGAGGGCCCCGUUGUCUUAACCAGCUCAGGCUGCCACAACACAUUACCAUAGACUGGGUGACUUGAACAGCAGGCAUUUAUUAGUCACAGUUUUGACAGCUCUGGAAGCUGAGAAGUCCAAGAAGAUGUAAAACCAUCUUCAAAACGCAGAUUCAUUGUUGGGUGGGGACCUACUUCCUGAAUUGCAGACAGACAUCUCUUCACCAUAUCAGAGAGAAAGCGACAGGAGAGGGAGAGACAGAGAUCUCCAUCAUGCAGACUAUACCCUCGUGGCCUCAUGUGAAACUAAUUGACUGUAUCUCCAAAUACAUCACAAUCACAAUGGAGGCUAGGACUUCACCAUAGGAAUUUGAGAGGGGACACAUUUGAAUUUGGUAUCUGGAGUGUUCACCUGAUAACAAGUCCUCUACCACUUGACUAGGGCUUCAAGGGACCUUAUAGCAUCCUGACUUUUUCCUUCCCUGCAUUUACCACUGUUUGUGUGAUUGCAUUUUAUUUUUUGCUCCUGUUCCCAUGUAGGCAAACACCAUGUAUUUUUAUCUUGUUUUGUCGUUGCUACUCUAUCUUCAGACUUAGCACAAUGUUUGGCACAUAAUCUGUGUGUGUAUAUAUUUUUUGACUGGGUACAUAAAUACAUUUGAGCGCAUUGCAUGCAUUCCAGUGGGACAGAGUUAACAGGUCAAGUAAUCAGAUUAAUAAUGGAGAAGAAGGCAAAAGUGUAGUUAUCAAAUGAAGGUGGGUUGGUGCUAUAAAAGUAAGCUACAGAUGCUGAGACUCAGAAUCCAGGGUCAAAGUUACUUGUCUCUCCUGCCAAAAGUAAUAUUAGGUCCUGGGGCUUUUGGAUUCGGGCUGAGCAGAGGUGUCCAUAGGUGCUCUCAGCAGCAUGGAGAGGUCUUGGGGGUGUGUUGUCAGGAAGCAACAGAGGGCUGACAUAGUGUGUUUUUAAUGUACUUGGCUCAUUUUGUUGCUUGAAACCUAGAAGGCAAUUAUAGAUUUCUCAGAGUAAAAAGUGUACGCAAGAUUUUUUCCUCCUCUUCCCUACCUAAAUUAUUUGGUCCAGCCUGGAUUAUGAUAUCUGAAGUCAAGGAAACGCCAGCAAUCAUCUGAAAACAUAUCACCACCACACCCAUCCCUACUUCUCAAAACAACUUUCAUGUUCUUUUGGCCUGCUAUAUAUUUACACACACACACACACACACACACACACUCACUCACUGUGUGGAAACCUAUAGGUUUGUGCACAAAAAAGCACACUGAGAAAGCAAUAAUUAAGGUCCUAUCCUCUUCUUUGGGCAGGACUCAUAAAAGAGUGGUUUCUGUUUCUACAGUAGAAAGUUGUGGUUGAGGCCUGAUAGAGUUCUUCUACAACCCCCUGUCCAGAGGUGAAUCAUGCAUCAUUUAGAUCACCCUCACAUUCGGUGACUGAGGGAUCUCACGUUGUCCUCUGUACCCUUACUUUUGGCUAAUGUUCAGCCAUGUCGCUCAGAUUCUCUCAUUCACAGGAAGGCCGGUGCUGUCUUCCAAUCAAGUUCUUUCUCCAAUAAACCACUCUGCUUAGGGCUUACCCUCAUGAGAUAAAACUGGCAAGCCUAAAAAUAGAAACCACAAAUCCUGCCUGCCAAUCCUGCAUUCUAACCUCUAAUCCACUUGUAGCAAGGACAAAUAUUUUCAGGAAAAUAAAACGACACUGCAUGGAACACAGGGACACAAUUGCUCCUGUUGUCAGAUCUUCCACUCAAAAGCCUAGAAAUAAGGGGCUGGAUUCCACUCUCCCCUCCUUGGUCACCAUAUACCUAGUUUCAACCUUCCUCUAAUUUCUUAUACAACCUGAGUUACCAAAGCAAAUGAAGAAAAGAUGAAAUGAGGACACAGGCAGGAGGGGGAGAGACACAGAAUUUCAUCAUUGUUACAACUUACUUAAUGGUGGGAAUUUGUCUUUUGUGUUUCAGUACAAGGCAAAGAGCCUAGUAGAAGUUCAGGGUUAGAUUAAUAGGACUUUCACGUUUGUCAAAUGGGAAGUUGACUAAGUUAACUAAGUGACUGGAUUUGAGGACCUGAGGCAGCCUGAGUGGAAAGUAUCCUCAGAAAACCUAAGUGUGAGUCCCAUCUCACCAUUGCCACUCAUAUCUGGUUCAAAGGGACAAACUAUUUCAUGCCCUAAGGCUUAGAGCUCUUAUCUCUAAAACAGCAUUUCGAGUAAUAGCCUUUUUUGCUGCACAGAGCUGUUUUGAGGCUCCAUGAGAGAAAAUAUAUAGGAAAUGCUGUGUAAACUCUUAAUCUAUCUAUAAGUAUGAGGAAUUAUUAUCACUGCACACAAAUCCACUUAUUGUUUCUGAUUGGCUGUACACAUAAUUCAAAUUCUCCAGGAAAUAGCUCAGUCUUUAUUUCUAGCUGUGUGGUAUGCAGCUUCUAAACAGUUCUACUCAGACCUCGCCUCUUAACCUUUAGUCUUGAGGGUCUACAGAGACCUUUGGCUCUCAGUUAACUGUUACAUCCCAAGCCAGCUGCAGGGCAGAAAUUCCUGGUUUGAUUUGUGUUUUAACCAGCUCAGCCGUUUUGUGGCUUGGCCACUGAAGUGCUCUCACAAAGACACAGACCAGAGUGGACUCAAACAUGAACUCUGGUGAGAGAUGAGUUCUGAGAGGAAUCUAAUUCAACAAAGGAGAUAUGUAAACAGGACUCAGGAAGCUGUGGCCACAGUCUUCUCUUAGGAGGCUUUAACUUUCUCAGUUUUGAAAUACCGUGUUUGUUUCGCUGUGUGGUGAAUGUCAGUAUAUUAACAUUGUACUUUGAGAUUUCUCAGCUGGCAGUGUGAUAAAAUUUAAAAUAUUAUUCUCAUUUAGUAUCGUUUUAGAAUUUUCAUGGCAUUAAUGAAACUAAUGAGAAACAACUUAUGCUAUUGGGAAGGGAGAGUGAGUGUUUUCAGCUGAGUUUUGGCAUGGUUCAGUCUUUAAAUGCAUGACAAUGGAUUUAUUAUUGAAGAAAUAAAGAGAUUGGGCAGAAUCAGCAGUUGAUCAUUGGAAGACAGUCAUUUACUUUUUUUUUUUUUUACAGAUAAUAAGUAGUUUCUUGUGUAUCUUUCUAAUAUUUUUAUGCACAUUAUAAGAAAAUACAAAUAAAUCUUCAUAUUUUUCCCCUGGACUUCUCAAAAGGUAGACCAUCCAGUCUUUUAUGUCAGAAAGCUUAUAGCCCAUGUUUAAAUAAUAAUAAAAAGACACAACUAUUAAGAGGGUAGAUAUUUUAGGUCUAGACUUUUACUGGUUGUAAUGUUUGAAUGUGAGAGUCCUCGUGGUUACAGAUAGAAGCCUUGCUAUAGUAGUCGCUAGUUAGUUUUUCCUUGGUUCCCAGAGGCUGCUGAAUAAUACACAUUUGCUUGACCUGCAGUGAAAAUAGAAUAAGAGAAAGAAGAAAAUGUGAAGUGGAACAGUGUGGUUGGGAAAUUUCCACACCUUUAUCCUUGGGGAAAAAAAAAAAAAGAAAAAACCUCUCUUAUAAGUAAGGCUAAAGAGAAUAUUAAAUGCAUACAGUAUGAGUCAAAGAAAAUCAUAUUAACAUUUAUUCAUCAAAGUGGAUCGUUGGUCUCAUCUGCAUAUGUGAAAUUUAUGGGUGACAGCCUGAACUCUCUGUCAGGGCAUAGUCAUAUCAAACCGCAAGUGUCUGAAUCCUUAUUGCUUAAGUGCCUAGUUUCUAGGGUGUUUUGUUUCUGUUUUUCUUUUUAAUUCUUCUUGUUUUGGCCCUUGAGAAUCCAAAGAAUGAUUUCUUAACAAAAAAUAAGACUAGCCAAUAAAUGAAAAAUUAGGAAAUUCCUCCAUGAUUUGGACAAGAUUUGAAAUUUUUUUUGUCUUCUCUAAGAAGAUUUAAUUUAGGAGUAUGAACCAAGAAAAAUUACAACAUCAUGCUCUGACCAGCUUGCUUCAGAUAAUGGCUUGUGUGACCAAUGGAUGUCUUGGGGGAAGGGAAAUUCACAGAGAGCAAUGAGGAACUUCUCUGUCAUCUCAGGGUUUCACAAUAAACACAGGAAACAUUUGUAGCUGGCCCUCCGUUAGCCCAAAAGAUUAGCUAAUCCCUUAUUUCACCAUAAAAUGCAUUUUCAGCACAAGGUUCCUGAACUGCCAGCAAAGACUCAUCGUGGCAGGCUCACAGUCCUCCUGGAUGACAGUUGAAAGAUGCUUUACCCUGUUCAUGCAGACCCGGGCAGUUAGGAACCUGCCCAGGGGAUAUGUCUGGUGGACCAGAGUCUCUCCAUAGCCCACCAAUCAAGCUAGCUGAUUCCCAUGUCAAGCAUGCCCUGGGAAUUCUGCAACAGUGUUCUUAGAGUAAUAUCAGAUUCCUGAAGCCCAGAGAUGGAUUAACUGUCCAGGUGCUCCAGCCAAAUUCCGAUUCAAAUUAAUACAUCCUGUCCAUACAACCUUUCACCUCUGUAGAGUGGAACUGUGACCUCCUGUUGCUCAGAGAGGAAAGAAAAGAAGCUGUAUUUUACCAUAGUGGUUUCAGAAUACCUUUACACCUAGCCUGCAGCCUGCUUCACUAUUUGUGGGUUGUCCACUGGCUUUUUUUUUUUCUCUAGACAUAGUCAUUUAUUUCAAAAAUGCUUGGUGUAAUUUUUGAAAUUAUUUUAAUUUGUAUAAAGAAUUCAUCACAGAUUUAUUUUGGUAGAAGAGGCUUCAGAGAUUAUCUAAUCCAACGGUCCAAUGGCCUUUUAUUUUCACAGAUGAAGACAUGGGAAGCCCAGAGAGGUUAAGUGCCAUGCUCAAGGUCACUCAGCUAGUUAGCCCUAGUAAAUUUCCAGUGUGAGCACAAGGUGAAUUCCUAAACUGUUCCCAUGGGUUCCAUGUUUCCACAGCUCCUCAUUAAGCAAAGCCCUGAAUGAGAGAGCAGUUUUGUCACACAUGCUAUACACACCCAGCACUUUUUGCCUCUAAGACAUUGUACGAUACCUCUAAGAAUGCCACAGGCCUGAGAUCAGCUGGGAAGGUCAGCUGCCCACAGAGCUUCCUGUGCACUGAGUGACAUGACAGCUGGAGAGUAUCUAUCAUAUUUGUCUUCCAGAACCACCCCCCCCCACAACUAAGCUGGAAUUUAGCAUAGGCUCCAAAUCGCAAAUAGGACCAAAUUCACUUUCUUUACUCAUCUCGCACCACAAGGCUCUCUAUAUAAGAUAGAAAAAUAUAAAAUAAGCACUAGCAACAAUUACAGUAAAGGGAAAAUUAUUUUGAUAGUAACAUAAUAAAGACAGGUCAAAUUUGUACACAGAAGCAAAUAUUAAAAAUCUCCGUUUAGUGUCUGGAGAAUGGUGUUAACUUUGGCGCUGAGUUGCUAAGUGGCCUUAGCAAAGUGGGACAGAUGAUCUGUUAUAAGGUUCAGAAUAUUCAUAAGACUAAAAAAAAUCAAUUCAAGGGAAGCAUAGCUUUUACUCAUAAAGAGAAGUUCUUAAUACCAUCCUCUCAGAUAUAACAGUGAAUUUCAUACAGCUGUGUCUCAUUAUAUUCCUCAGUGCAAGCCAAAGGCACAACAACUCACAAAUUAGAAAACAUGUUUCCAGGAUAUUGAACGUGGGAGCAAAACAAUGGAUCUAAGUACACGCUGAGCUGUUUAGAAAUCAGUAGAUGAUACGUCCUUAAGGAAAUCUUCUGUAGUACUAUUCCUUAAAAUUGUUUUUUUGAAUAAUUAUUGGGCAGCAAAGAGAGAAGAAAUUAGUGAGUCCAGUGAAGAUAUUGGUUCCUGAGGCAAAGACCACUCAAGGUCCCUGUAUGGUCAGGCCAUUCAAGAUGUCUUACUCCCUGUACAUCCCCUGCUUGAGCAGGCCCUGCUUCACUCACAUGAAUCCUCUUAAUUGUAGGGCUUAAUCAGUAACUGCUUGCAUACUUGCCCCCUACCACCUGCCCCAGCCUCUGCUUUCCCUGGUAACCAAUAAGCCAACCUGACGUCCAUUGCCCCUCUAAUUGGUAGCCUCCUUCUCUCCCAAGUAGUGAAGACUGCUGCCAUGUCCUGCCUGCUGUAGGCUGUGCACCAUGAAUUGAUGUCCCAGGACUCUUUGCUUCAGACAUAUAAGAUUCCUUGUCCAAUAAACCAUUAAGUCUCUGUCACUGUAUCAGGGUUGUUUCUUUGGUCUCAAAGCUGGGCAACUACAAGGCUUGCAGGCCUGUGCCAUGCAGCCCAGUAGUCCCCAGUGUCCAUGUUCCCUGCUUCUCUUUGUACCUCAGCUAGAGUACAUUUCCCAGUCACAUUUAUCGUAGGUAUGAACAUGUGACUGAACUUGCCUGGUCCACUCUUGCUCCAUUCUCCCUCUGUUUUCCCAUAUACCCUUUAAACCCAGAGGACUCCAAGGAUCUUGAGGCAGAGCUACAGGAUGGAAGGAGCCUGGGCCCCUGAUUGACUGCGAAGAGCAGGGUCUAUAGUGGACUCUGAUAUGGGCAAUAAAUAAACUUUUAAUGUAUUUAUUAAGUUUGGGGGUUUCUUUAUCUCAGCAGCUAGUAUUAUAUUAAAUAAUAUAAUCUUCAAACCUUUCAAAGGUAUUGAGGAAGAUGCCUUCAGUAGCUCCAUGAUCCAGUCGCUCCUCGUUACAUUAAAAAAACAACUGCCCAAAAGACUUUUUUCAAGGCCAUGUCAUUUCAUUUCCAUUAGGCUUUAGGAAACUGACUAGCUAUGGGAAUCAGACUGCCUGAGCUUGAACCUUAACUUUUCCAUCUAUGUGCCUUGGGCAAGUUACCUGACUUCCCUAAGCCUCAGAGGCCCCACCUAUAACAUGGGGAUAGUAAUCAGACCUGCUCUCAGAGUGGUUGGACCGAGAAAAUGCUCAGCUGGGAUUUGGCAUCUAGCACACACCUGAUUACUCUUAGCUAGUAAUGUUGCUGUUCUUUGGAAAUGUGUACUCAUUUGUUGGUUUACAUGAGGAAGGCCCAGGGCAGGACAAGCCCAGUCUGUGCACAGCUGGCUUGGUUUCUAGCAGAAAAGUAUACAGGCUCUCCUCCUCCCCACCCCACCUUCUUCCCUGUCCCCUGCUUUGUUAAGCCCAUGCAACCUUCAGACAUUGAAGCAGGCUGUCACAAUCUGAGACCUGUUCAAUACAUCUGAAAUCUCCCAGAAACUUUCAUGUGAUCCUUCAGGAAAAAGAGUAUGAAAUAACAGUAAUAAUAAUCCCUGAUAAUGAGUACAGACUUUUGAGCAUAUAUAUAUAUAAUUCGAAAAGUCUGUGAUUCUGUCAGAGAAUGUUUUGAUGUUGAAAAUGUCUUACAGUAUUCCUUGAUAAGGCAUGGAAAGAUAAUUUCUGGAUCUUCUAGAAAGAUCAUUUUACAAAAAUAGGCAUUUUUGUAUUGAAACAGGAAAUAACUCAAUUUCUGCACUAGGUAAAUCUUUCUUGAGGUUUUUAGUAUCUUUUUCUUCCUUGCCCCUGACUGGAAACAUAAACAUACCUAGAGUCUUGGCUAAUAAUAACAUCAAGAUGUGUACAGACCUGGCCUUCCUCAACAGCCUGCUGAGUUAUUUGUGUUGGAAAAGAUUUUUAUCAUAAGUACAUUUCUUCUCUUGCUGUCACAUGAUGCACCAUUGAAUUUCCCAUCACACAAACGUUCUAAUCUCAUUUACAGUCACAGAGGUUGAAAAUAGAUAAUUAAUCAGCAUUCAAGUACCUCACAAUCUGUAAAGUAGACCAGAUAUGGCUGGACUGGCAGCAAUGUGGAGCGUUGCAGGGGCUCUGGAAUGGGGGCUAGUCAGCUGUCAAUGAGUCCUAUGACUUUCCACAGCUCCUGGAUUCCUCUGUCAUUCAAAGAAAUUGGGUUUGUUUCUCUCAGUAUCUCUCCAUUCCUCAUGCAGUAGGAUGAGCACCAUGGUUAUAAAUAUUUCAGCUGAAUUUACAAUAUUGUCUUCAUUCAUGAAGCAAGACAGACCAGGGUCACAUGUGGCUUUUUCUAAACCUAGGAUACAUAUACUGGGAGGGCUGCCAGUUCCCUUGUUCUUAAUCCCCUUCAGUUCUACCAAAUGCUUCUAGAGCAACGAGUUAUACAGGAGUUGACCUGGGCUACUUUACUCCUGUUUCUUCCUCCCUUCCUUCUUCUCCUUUCCUCCCCUUUGCUCUCUCUUUUCAUUCAUUCAUUUUUACAUUUAAUUCCCAUAGCACUAAAUGAAACUUCUCUUCUGAGAAUGUUAGGCAAGUAUUGAACUGAUCAAGUGACUAAAUAUAGCUUUAAGACCUGACUUUGAGCUCCUCACCAGUUCCUUAAAUGAAUUUAGAAUCUAGGUAUUAAGUUCAUCUGACUGGUGGACAAUUGACUCAUUAAUAGUUAGUCUUUGUCAUAGGAUUCCCCUUCAUUCACCACUUCUGUUUGGUGAGUGUAAUUGGAAACAAAGGGGCACCUGAGGAUGAAUUUAGAGAACUAGAGGCAUCUUUACAUUUGCAAGAUGCUGACAAACAGAAAAAUGCAAAUUGAAGACAAAUGAGGUGAUUUAGAAAGUUCCAGUUCUUUGACUCAAAGAAGAUGAGGCUUUACCAAGCAAAGUGCAAGGGUGGAGCUGUGUUUCCUGUUCAAGAACUGGCUGAGUCGUGUCACCUACGUGCCAUCUGAAAGACUGUUUCAUUGCAGCAGGAGCCCUGUGAAGCAGGCAAGACCCAGCCUGACCAAACAGGGAAAGUAUGAAGUCAUCUUUCUCAUUGCUCUCCUCUUUAAGUCCAAGAGCAAAGUACUUCUAAAAGGCAGGCUUUGUGGUUCGCAUGGAAUGUAAAUAGCUCAAAUGGCCCCACUUCCAAGAAGCCUUCUUUAACCCUAAGGCUGAAUGAAGAAUGCAAACUUGACCUUGACUUUAAGGUCAAAGCAUUUUCAGACUGUGCGGUCAGCAGAGGGUAGAAAAAAAAAAAAUCAAUGUGAAGCAUAUUAGAGAAGAAUAAGGGUAAGAGUAAUGCAAAGAUGCUGGGAAGCCAUUCAGGAAUUGGAAACAACUGAGACAGAAAAAUCAGUUGGAAGUGAUUUCCCCUCUGUGGUGUCUUCCAGUCCUGGAGAGAACACUGGGAGAUGACUGGAUGACAUGGCUCCCUGUCUGGCCUGUGUCUAUUGAUUUGGUGAACUGGCUUCUACAGGAACAUAGAGAAGAUGUGGCAGAGGUCAGAUGGCUCUGAAAAUGGAGGGGGGAAAAGCUGCUAUGGUUUUCUUUGUCCAGGCCACUGUCAUAAGGAAGCCUGGAAGAGUGAAGAAAGGUCUGAUUGAUCACAAGGUCCUAUCAAAUGUCAAAGCUGGCCCUGGCUGACCUCCCAUCUAUUCAGAGCUGCUUUGAUUUAAUCUCCAAACUGGCUGCUUCUCCAGGCUGGAAGAAGAUUGAAAUUUCCAACAAGGCAAAGGUGAUGAAAAUGUCUUCAUGGAAUCUUUGGGUACUAAGGAAAAGAGAAAAUGGAGGAGGGCAAUUACCAAAACAAGAAAUCAUCUAAUAAAACAUGAUCCACAGAACAGGAAGCCUGAUUUCUCUUGUCAAGUCACUAAACAGGCAAGAGCCUUCUCAGAUAUGUCCUGAACACCUUCUCUUUGCCUGACAAGUUCAAGAAAUUAAGUCAAAUAAAUAUUUGAUGGAAAUCUACCUGGCUCCAAAGACUGGGCUUCUAACAAUCCUCUCCACAACGUUUGAAUACAAAAAAAGUAUCCUGCUAAAGGACAGAGCCCCUCCAUCUCUUCCCGCCAAGCUCUCUGCGUGCCUGGUGAGAGGUAUAGCACUUUUGCUUUCUUUUCAAUUUGCUCUUUAAAUGAGUGACAAUAUCACCUAGUGAUUAAGGACCUGCCUGGAGCUGGGCUGAUGCUUGGAGUUGGGCUGAACCUGAGCCUGAAUUCGAGCUCUUCUUCUUCUUGCUGACUUUGACCCUAGGUGAGUUAAUUUUUCUAAGCUUCAGUUUCUUGGUCUAUAAAAAGGAGGAUGAUAAUUCUUUUCUCACUCAGUAUUGUUUUAAAGAUUAGUAAGAUAAUAUAUACAACGCAUUUAGCACAGUGCCUUGCACAUGAUAAACCCUGAAUAAAUGGUAGCCAGUUUUAAAAUACAACAUAAUUUUAAGCGUUGGUAUUUCUUAUGACUCCAAUCUCAUCCCUCCUUUUCCAUUGUCACUACAUUUGCUCUGUGUCUCCCAUAUCGAAUCUGGAACUUGCAUUCAAAGCCUUUAUCUCUCAGUGCCAAAAGAGUAGCCCUCAUGGAUGAACAAAGGUACUCAAAUUCAACAUGCCCAGAAUUAAACCCAGUAAAUGGGGAUUCAGUCACAACCCCAGUCUAUCCACCUAAGGGACAAAGUCCUGGCAGUCACCUAAGACUCCUCAUUAUCUUCAACCCCCAUCCCUGAUCAGUCACCCUAUUGGUUCUAACUUAUAAUAUUCAUUUAUUUUAUCACUACUGCCACAACCUGGGGUCAGACAUCAAACUUCUCUAUUCUGCCCCAUUGUUACCUCUUGACUACAAUCUCUGCCUCAAAUCUAAUCUGACCUCAUUCCUCUAUCUACUCUGCUAUGAAAGAGAUUACAGUUACACAUAUCUAAUUUUAUUACCUUUCCAUAUAAUGGUUCUCCAUUCUCCUGUGGGGUGCAUACAGUUUAGGGAACAUAAAAGUAUUCACUGGGAGCUAAGAAGAAAAUACCAUUUUUUUUUUAAAUUUUAUUUUAACAAUUAUUUUGAAUAUAUUUAAAAGUAUUUAUUUAUAAUGUAUGUGAUAUAGUAGUAAAGUAAAGUAAUACAUAUGAGUGAUGGUUAAUUUUAAGUGUGUCUCUGGCUAGGCCACAGUGCCCAGAUAUUUGAUCAAAAAUGUAUGAAUGUUACUCUGAAGAUAUUUUUUUAGAUCAAAUUAACAUCUAGGGGAGUACCCAUUGUGGCUCAGUGGAAAUGCCUCCAACUAGUAACCACGAGGGUACAGGUUGGAUCCCUGGCCUUGCUCAGUGGGGAGCUGUAGUGUAGGUCACAGA
Non-coding RNA from Sus scrofa (pig), 19603 nucleotides. The record is from RefSeq and is a predicted model, not a curated record. Lineage: Eukaryota; Metazoa; Chordata; Mammalia; Artiodactyla; Suidae.